This 439-nucleotide ribosomal RNA is filed under the name uncultured bacterium. RNAcentral's name for it is "partial 16S ribosomal RNA". It matches the Rfam family "Bacterial small subunit ribosomal RNA", at positions 339 to 795 of the family's 1533-position model. The record is from RNAcentral.
CUACGGGAGGCUGCAGUGAGGAAUAUUGCACAAUGGGGGGAAUCCUGAUGCAGCAACGCCGCGUGGAGGAUGACGCAUUUCGGUGUGUAAACUCCUUUUAUAUGUCAAGAAAAUGACGGUAGCAUAUGAAUAAGCACCGGCUAACUCCGUGCCAGCAGCCGCGGUAAUACGGAGGGUGCAAGCGUUACUCGGAAUCACUGGGCGUAAAGGACGCGUAGGCGGGUUGGAAAGUCAGGUGUGAAAUCCUACAGCUUAACUGUAGAGCUGCACUUGAAACUUCUAAUCUAGAGUAUGGGAGGGGGAGAUGGAAUUAGUGGUGUAGGGGUGAAAUCCGUAGAUAUCACUAGGAAUACCUAAAGCGAAGGCGAUCUCCUGGAACAUUACUGACGCUAAGGCGUGAAAGCGUGGGGAGCAAACAGGAUUAGAUACCCGUGUAGUC